ACGGGUGAGUAACGCGUAGACAACCUACCAUCUAGAUGGGGACAACACCGCGAAAGUGGUGCUAAUACCGAAUGUCGUAUAAGAGCUGCAUAGCUAUUAUACCAAAGGUGGCCUCUUAGCAAUGCUACCGCUAGAAGAUGGGUCUGCGUCUGAUUAGCUAGUUGGUGGGGUAACGGCCCACCAAGGCGACGAUCAGUAGCCGGUCUGAGAGGAUGAACGGCCACACUGGGACUGAGACACGGCCCAGACUCCUACGGGAGGCAGCAGUGGGGAAUCUUCCGCAAUGGGCGAAAGUCUGACGGAGCAACGCCGCGUGAGUGAAGAAGGCCUUCGGGUCGUAAAGCUCUGUUAUUCAGGAAGAACGAUCUCUAUGUGAACAAUGUAGGGAAGUGACGGUACUGAAGGAGGAAGCCACGGCUAACUACGUGCCAGCAGCCGCGGUAAUACGUAGGUGGCGAGCGUUGUCCGGAAUUAUUGGGCGUAAAGAGCGCGUAGGCGGGAAGAUAAGUCUACUUUAAAAGUGCGGGGCUCACCCCCGUGAUGGGGUAGAAACUAUCUUUCUUGAGUGCCGGAGAGGAAAGCGGAAUUCC
This 590-nucleotide ribosomal RNA is filed under the name uncultured bacterium. RNAcentral describes it as "bacterial SSU rRNA". It matches the Rfam family "Bacterial small subunit ribosomal RNA", at positions 102 to 670 of the family's 1533-position model. The record is from RNAcentral.